This 72-nucleotide transfer RNA is filed under the name Mesocricetus auratus (golden hamster). It matches the Rfam family "tRNA". Rfam says of the family: Transfer RNA (tRNA) molecules are approximately 80 nucleotides in length. Their secondary structure includes four short double-helical elements and three loops (D, anti-codon, and T loops). Further hydrogen bonds mediate the characteristic L-shaped molecular structure. tRNAs have two regions of fundamental functional importance: the anti-codon, which is responsible for specific mRNA codon recognition, and the 3' end, to which the tRNAs corresponding amino acid is attached (by aminoacyl-tRNA synthetases). tRNAs cope with the degeneracy of the genetic code in two manners: having more than one tRNA (with a specific anti-codon) for a particular amino acid; and 'wobble' base-pairing, i.e. permitting non-standard base-pairing at the 3rd anti-codon position. The record is from Rfam by way of RNAcentral. Lineage: Eukaryota; Metazoa; Chordata; Mammalia; Rodentia; Cricetidae.
GUGGGUGCAGCUCAGUUGGUGCAGUGCUUGCCUGGAAAGCAUGAGGUCCUGGGUUCAACCCCCAACACCACA